CAACUUUCAACGACGGAUCUCUUGGCUCUCGCAUCGAUGAAGAACGCAGCGAAAUGCGAUAAGUAAUGUGAAUUGCAGAUUUUCAGUGAAUCAUCGAAUCUUUGAACGCACCUUGCGCUCCUUGGUAUUCCGAGGAGCAUGCCUGUUUGAGUGUCAUUAAAU
This 162-nucleotide ribosomal RNA is filed under the name uncultured fungus. Its description in RNAcentral is "5.8S ribosomal RNA". It matches the Rfam family "5.8S ribosomal RNA". Rfam says of the family: 5.8S ribosomal RNA (5.8S rRNA) is a component of the large subunit of the eukaryotic ribosome. It is transcribed by RNA polymerase I as part of the 45S precursor that also contains 18S and 28S rRNA. Lineage: Eukaryota; Fungi. The record is from RNAcentral.